This 200-nucleotide ribosomal RNA is filed under the name uncultured bacterium. RNAcentral's name for it is "partial 16S ribosomal RNA". It matches the Rfam family "Bacterial small subunit ribosomal RNA", at positions 28 to 220 of the family's 1533-position model. The record is from RNAcentral.
GACGAACGCUGGCGGCGUGCUUAACACAUGCAAGUCGAACGGUGAAGGGACCAGCUUGCUGGUUCUGGAUGAGUGGCGAACGGGUGAGUAACACGUGAGUAACCUGCCCCCUUCUUCUGGAUAACCGCAUGAAAGUGUGGCUAAUACGGGAUAUUCUGUGCCUGCCGCAUGGUGGGUGUGGGAAGGAUAUUGUUUCGGUG